Non-coding RNA from Malus domestica (apple), 249 nucleotides. NCBI's taxonomy places the organism in Eukaryota, Viridiplantae, Streptophyta, Magnoliopsida, Rosales, Rosaceae. The record is from RefSeq and is a predicted model, not a curated record.
GGGACUGGCGGUGAAAGAUGGAGGAGGAAGAGGAGGACGAGUAGGUAUGAUUUUGCCAAACACAGCUGCAUCGCUUAAGAAUGCGGAGUUUCAUUCUAUAUAGGCCAAUCGUGAGGUGCAAAACCAAAGCAUGUUGCGGCCCCAAACAUCAUCAUGAAAACUCUGAAGCGGAACUUCUUGUUCUUGGCAAAAUCACAGUCAGUGGCAGGUUUCACUCUACAGAGGAAGAAUGAUGCCGUCAACAAAUAA